This 250-nucleotide ribosomal RNA is filed under the name uncultured prokaryote. RNAcentral describes it as "partial 16S ribosomal RNA". It matches the Rfam family "Bacterial small subunit ribosomal RNA", at positions 524 to 773 of the family's 1533-position model. The record is from RNAcentral.
UACGUAGGGAGCGAGCGUUAUCCGGAUUUAUUGGGUGUAAAGGGUGCGUAGACGGGAUAGUAAGUUAGUUGUGAAAUCCCCAGGCUUAACUUGGGAACUGCAACUAAAACUGUUAUUCUUGAGUGUUGGAGAGGAAAGUGGAAUUCCUAGUGUAGCGGUGAAAUGCGUAGAUAUUAGGAGGAACACCAGUGGCGAAGGCGACUUUCUGGACAAUAACUGACGUUGAGGCACGAAGGUGUGGGGAGCGAAC